CUACGCAAACUUGAUUGAACCUUCGCCAUCACUGGGCAGGCAAGCUACAGCUAAAGAUAAUAACUAAAAAUAAGUUUCAGGGAUGCAAGAAAAGGUCCGGGCCGCCUGAGGUAAUGAGGACUGAAAAAGGCUACUUCUUGGUUGACGGAGGAUGAGCCGCCAGAUGGGCAAUUAUUAAGUGGACCAUUCCACCGAGGCCAUGGCGACCUCAAAGGGACUCUUGGCUCAAAGGGUUGGAACCAGACUGGACAUCUCCAGGGAGUUGGGGAGCACAAAUGGCAUCAGAGUGUACGAUUACACAACCCACCAUGGCUGAAAAAAAAAACGUACGGUAGAAAAGCAGUUGUAGUGUUCUUCCCAUGCGUUCAGGAAUUACUGACUUGAAAGUAUUCACAGCCAUUCACUUUUCCCACAUUUUGUUAUGUCAAAGACUAAAAUUCGACAUACCCCAUAAUGAAAAUUUGAACAGUUUUUGUAAUUUAUUUAAAAUGGAAAAAAAUCACACGUACUUUAAGUAUUCACAGCAUUUGCUCAAUACUUUAUUGAUGCACCUUUUGGCAGAAAUUACAGCCUCAGCCUCAAGCGUGGCAUCAUAUUAAAAAAAUCUAUCUUUGGGCAGUUUCGCCCAUUUCGCUU
Nerophis ophidion (straightnose pipefish) is the source of this 636-nucleotide long non-coding RNA. RefSeq lists it as uncharacterized. The transcript has 3 exons. Lineage: Eukaryota; Metazoa; Chordata; Actinopteri; Syngnathiformes; Syngnathidae. The record is from RefSeq and is a predicted model, not a curated record.